AGGCCCUCGGGCCCCCCGGAUCCUCGGGUCUCCCGCUCGCGGGAGGCUGCCCGCCGGAGUGCCGAAACCAAACUCUUGAUAUUUUAUGUCUCUCUGAGUAAACUUUUAAAUAAGUCAAAACUUUCAACAACGGAUCUCUUGGUUCUGGCAUCGAUGAAGAACGCAGCGAAAUGCGAUAAGUAAUGUGAAUUGCAGAAUUCAGUGAAUCAUCGAAUCUUUGAACGCACAUUGCGCUCGCCAGUAUUCUGGCGAGCAUGCCUGUUCGAGCGUCAUUUCAACCAUCAAGCUCUGCUUGCGUUGGGGAUCCGCGUCUGACGCGGUCCCUCAAAAACAGUGGCGGGCUCGCUAGUCACACCGAGCGUAGUAACUCUACAUCGCUAUGGUCGUGCGGCGGGUUCUUGCCGUAAAACCCCCAAUUUCUAAGGUUGACCUCGGAUCAGGUAGGAAUACCCGCUGAACUUAAGCAUAUCAAUAAGCGGAGGA
Molecule: ribosomal RNA, 483 nt
Filed under: Sordaria sp. 384A
Lineage: Eukaryota; Fungi; Ascomycota; Sordariomycetes; Sordariales; Sordariaceae
Description: eukaryotic LSU rRNA
Rfam family: 5.8S ribosomal RNA (bases 119-272)
Source: RNAcentral